This 293-nucleotide ribosomal RNA is filed under the name uncultured bacterium. Its description in RNAcentral is "partial 16S ribosomal RNA". It matches the Rfam family "Bacterial small subunit ribosomal RNA", at positions 505 to 796 of the family's 1533-position model. The record is from RNAcentral.
GUGUCAGCAGCCGCGGUAAGACGGAGGGCGCGAGCGUUGUUCGGAAUCACUGGGCGUAAAGCGCGCGCAGGCGGGACCUGCAAGUCGGAAGUGAAAUCCCGGGGCUCAACUCCGGGGCUGCUUCCGAAACUGCGGACCUGGAGACUGGUAGAGGUGGGUGGAAUUCCCGGUGUAGCGGUGGAAUGCGUAGAGAUCGGGAAGAACACCUGUGGCGAAGGCGGCCCACUGGGCCAGUUCUGACGCUGAGGCGCGAAAGCGUGGGGAGCAAACAGGAUUAGAAACCCCGGUAGUCC